Molecule: ribosomal RNA, 444 nt
Filed under: uncultured Acholeplasma sp.
Lineage: Bacteria; Bacillati; Mycoplasmatota; Mollicutes; Acholeplasmatales; Acholeplasmataceae
Description: bacterial SSU rRNA
Rfam family: Bacterial small subunit ribosomal RNA
Source: RNAcentral
UGGAUCAUGUUGUUUAAUUCGAUGAUACGCGAAGAACCUUACCAGGUCUUGACAUCCCCCGCGAUGCUUUAGAGAUAAAGCGGAGGUAUUCGGGGAGACAGGUGGUGCAUGGUUGUCGUCAGCUCGUGUCGUGAGAUGUUGGGUUAAGUCCCGCAACGAGCGCAACCCCUAUUGCUAGUUACCAUCAUUAAGUUGGGGACCCUAGCGAGACUGCCAGUGAUAAACUGGAGGAAGGUGGGGAUGACGUCAAAUCAUCAUGCCCCUUAUGACCUGGGCUACAAACGUGAUACAAUGGCUGGAACAAAGGGAUGCGAAGCAGUGAUGUGGAGCGAAACCCAUAAAAACAGUCUCAGUUCGGAUUGAAGUCUGCAACUCGACUUCAUGAAGUCGGAAUCGCUAGUAAUCGCGGAUCAGAACGCCGCGGUGAAUACGUUCUCGGGGUUU